UACGUAGGGUGCAGGCGUUAAUCGGAAUUACUGGGCGUAAAGCGUGCGCAGGCGGCUCCUUAAGUCAGAUGUGAAAGCCCCGGGCUUAACCUGGGAACUGCGUUUGAAACUGGGGGGCUAGAGUGUGGAAGAGGGGGGUGGAAUUCCAGGUGUAGCAGUGAAAUGCGUAGAGAUCUGGAGGAACACCGAUGGCGAAGGCAGCCCCCUGGGCUAACACUGACGCUCAUGCACGAAAGCGUGGGGAGCAAACAGG
Molecule: ribosomal RNA, 253 nt
Filed under: uncultured bacterium
Lineage: Bacteria
Description: partial 16S ribosomal RNA
Rfam family: Bacterial small subunit ribosomal RNA
Source: RNAcentral